This 320-nucleotide ribosomal RNA is filed under the name uncultured eukaryote. Its description in RNAcentral is "partial 18S ribosomal RNA". It matches the Rfam family "Eukaryotic small subunit ribosomal RNA", at positions 1470 to 1796 of the family's 1831-position model. The record is from RNAcentral.
CCCCUAGAUGUUCUGGGCCGCACGCGCGCUACACUGAACAGUUCAACAAGUCUUAACCUUGGCCGAUAGGUCUGGGUAAUCUUUGAACGCUGUUCGUGAUUGGGAUAGACCUUUGCAAUUAUGGGUCUUCAACGAGGAAUUCCUAGUAAACGCAAGUCAUCAGCUUGCAUUGAUUACGUCCCUGCCCUUUGUACGCACCGCCCGUCGCACCUACCGAUUGAAUGGUCCGGUGAAAUCUCGGGACGGCGGCUCGGUCGCUUGCGUCCGACUGCUGAAACUUGAUUAAACCAUAUCAUUUAGAGGAAGGUGAAGUCGUAACA